Molecule: ribosomal RNA, 253 nt
Filed under: uncultured bacterium
Lineage: Bacteria
Description: partial 16S ribosomal RNA
Rfam family: Bacterial small subunit ribosomal RNA
Source: RNAcentral
UACGUAGGGGGCGAGCGUUGUCCGGAUUUAUUGGGCGUAAAGCGCGUGUAGGCGGCUUCGCAAGUUGGAUGUGAAAGCCCACGGCUCAACCGUGGAAGCGCAUCCAAAACUGCGUCGCUGGAGUCCCGGAGAGGAAGGUGGAAUGCUUGGUGUAGAGGUGAAAUUCGUAGAUAUCAAGCAGAACACCUGCGGCGAAGGCGGCCUUCUGGACGGUGACUGACGCUGAGACGCGAAAGCGUGGGGAGCAAACAGG